UUCUCCAGAUCUGGGAGCCCAAGAUUCUGACACUGAGAGAUCCUGAGUCACAGAGCUGAGGGCUCCAGACAUCAGAUCCUGGGUUUCUCUGUGCCCAAGUGCUUCGGGGAAUAAAUUCGACCGUCCAGGAGAAGAGUCUGAGACCUGGCUCACUGAGCAGUCGAGAUUUCUGGCGGAAAAAUGAGCUUCCCCAUCUCAUCGGUGGCUAAAGGAAGCAUAAGGCUAAUCUUAGAGGUGUGCUCCCCUUACCGUCUCAGCAGGCAAGCAUCACCUUGGAGUUUGCUGGAAUCCACAUUCCCCACCAGACCCCAGACAUGCUGCACUCGGGCCGCCUCUCACUGCCUGCAGCAUCCAGAUACACAGCGCACUCAGAGUUGUUGGAAACAUCUGCCAGAGGAAACAAGAAGACAAGUGACUGAUGCAGGCCCCUUUCUAUAAUGCACUAACUUAUGAAUGACAGUGUCUCUCCUGUGAGCUAAGCUCCAAUCAAGGUCCUUCCAGUGCUGUCAAGGCGUAUAAUGUCAUUAUCCAGACUCUCCUCAAUUCAGUUCAAGGGCACAGAUGAUUUGUAGACGUUCUCUCAAGUGAAAGCAGAAGCUGAAGCCUGGCUUGCUGAGGGGAAGAGAACAACUCAAUUUGGAAGAAGAGCUGAUUUCCCAGGGAGAAGCAGACAUCACUUGUGAACCACUGGGAGCCACACCCAAGCUUUAUCCUGCGAGAAGUCCAAGGCUAUGGAGAGAAAGACGUCUUUGCCUCUCCAAUGAAUUAGUGCCACAUUGGGAAACAAUACGGAGACCAGCAAAAACCAAACAGAGAAUUGCUGGAAGACUUGGAGUUCUGUGUACAUACCCUAAAGAGUUAGGAGUUUAAGCAGAUGUUUGCACACCUAUGUUCACUGGCAGCGCCUUGCAGUAACCGGAUGGUGGAAACUGCUGGGGAUUUGUUUAGAGACGAGUGCACAAGGUAAAGAUAGCUUAGGCAAAUGGGACAUGUGUUAGCCUUGAUCAGGAAGAAGGCGCUGUAGCUUGCUGGGUCCAGGAAUGAGCCUUAAAGGGACUAUGCUAAGCGAAAUAAGCCAGUUAUAAAAGUACAAGAAAUGCGAGGUUGCUCUUACCUGGGCUUCCUAGAGGACUGACAUUGCAGGGACGUAAUUUACAGGACAGCACGGGGGCUGGGAGACGAGAGAGAUCGGAGUUACUACUUAAUGAGCAUAGAGUAAGGCGAGCUGAAAAGUUCUGGAUACAGGUGGAGGUCACUGCUGCACAGCCACGCGAAGGUGUCAGGCCACAACCUGUGCACUUAGGAAUGGGCCUAUGUGCUAUGUGUAUUUUACGAUUUUUGUUUGUUUUUGUUUAUCGAGACAGGAUUUCUCUGGGUGUCUUGGAAUUUGCUCUGAAGACCAACCAGGCUUGACUCAAACUCAGAAAUCCAUCUUUGCCUCCCAAACACUGGGAUCAAAGAAAGGUGUGUACCCCCAUAUCUGUUAAGUUUUUUGUUGGUCUUUUUGGUAAUUAAAAGGCAGGCAGUUUUACCUCAGGUUUUGUUUUAUUUAAAAAAAAAAAACUUAUGACCUCUAGAAACCAUAUAUUUGGGGGACAUGGUCAAAGGACGUUAUCAACUUGUAUGAAAAUAUUCUUAUGAAACUCAGUACUAUCUAUGUUCAGCAUAUAUGAGUCCAAUAAUAAUGGUGAUAAGGGUAAUACUGAAAAAAUGGCUCAGCAGCUAUGAACUACCCAUUCUUCCAGAGGACCUGUAUUAGAUUUCCAGCACUUACACAGUGGCUCACAACAGUCUGACUCUGGUGCCCCCUUCAGGGCUCCUUCGAGAAUCAGGCAUACAAGUGGUACACAGACAUACAUGCAGGCAAAACACCCAUACACAUAAAAAUAAAAAAAAUUAAAAUGAAAAACAAGUUAGAAAAACAGAUAUAAUUUAGUCAUUCCAUCUGCUCAUUAUUCAUUUUUAAACUGAAUUUGUAAAUGACAUUAAGAGCGUUCCACCUGUAUUUACACAGGCUUAGGGAUUUAAUAGAUAUGGCUCCUGCUCUUGGGGGAUUUCCUAUCCAAUGAGUGAAGAGGAACUAAUUACGGUACACAGUGAGAUGAAACAGUAGGCCACGUGUUGAGGAGCAAGCUGCCUGGGAUUCAGAGGCGUCCUCUAUAAUCCCUCCAAGCUAAACCUGUGAGCGAUGUGGGUAAACACAGAAAGUGGGUGUGAAGAGAGAUGGGGGGGGGGCUGGGAUAUGAGCAAGCCAAGGAAGCCACUAGCUCUACCCUGUGAAGUCCCCAAUUGGUCACAGGGCAUCGCAGGACAGUGACCAUGAAGGCUGAAUGUGGACAGGAAAGCAAUGUCACACCACGAUAUGAUGGUGUUGUCUUUACUGGGAGGAUGACCCAGAAAUGGGGCUGAACUCAGAAAGCCAAAGCCAAAGCCAACAGUGCAUCGGAGCCAGAGGUAAGACCUGUGCCGGCUCAGUAGUGGCAUUCUAGAUCAGAAAACAGCCUACCAGAACUUUCCAUGCAAGCUGGGCACUGACCUCGUCUGCCAGUGCCUGAUCCUGGGCAGCAGUUGGGUUUACUGUCUGACAAUAAAAAGAGUAGAAGACAUUUUUAUUCAACACAAAAGCUUAGGCAGUGUUUCUUGUCCGUGUCUUGGACUCAGCCAAUUUGCAGCAUAAUUGUUUCCUACCCUAAUGUGUAUGCAGUAGAAUUAGUUCUAGAGGCUGCCAUGAGACUAGUCCACAGCAGAGUAAUAUCUCUGGGGCCCAGGUAGUGAGGAGAAUAGAAUGUGCCCGGGGUUGGGAGUUGGGGGUGGGGCAGAAGUCCAUGGCAGUCAUUCUGUGUGGUAGGAGCAGGGAAGACCAUGUGCAGGAGUCAGGCUUCGUAAGUUGGUGUGCUGACCUUCAGGUCAAGGACAAUUCAGCGGCCAUCUUGUCAACAAGCAAAUAGUUCUUGUCUCUUGGUGUCUCUGUUCUUUGAAGCCCCCACCACAUCCUCCUUCCUGCUUUGUCCUGGGUACCUUUUCCCUAGGUCCUCGAGACUCCUUUCCACAUCAGAUGCAUCUCUUAAAGAACCUUUGUCCCGACUCUGAAAGGCACACAGCGUCUAAGAUCCACAAGCCUCCACGGCCACCCUUCAUCUGUCCAUGGCUGGGGCAUAAAGAGUAAGGAGACAUCCCUUUGCCUUUUUGUGGAAAAUCCCACAACUCUACCCCCCUGUGUUCCAAGUUCCCAGCAAGCAGCCACCUUUAGUAAGUCAGGCCCUGACAGGAUCUUACACACAAGGUAGUAAUAACCUUUACCUCUUCCCUGCUUGGAAGGCUCCUUAAUUUCCUCAGGUGGACUAGAUUCACAAAGAACUGGGAAUCCCCUGCCUGGUGUCAGGGCACCCAGGUCUUGAAACACAAAGCCUUGGUUGCUUUUCCUGGAAAGAAAAGGAGGCAAUUAUCUCUCUGUCCUCCGUUCCUCAGAUUAGGAAAACAGAAACUAAAGCCGUUUCUCAACCACUUGGGUAACCUCCUUGUCUUUUGAGAGUCUUGCUUUCUGAUACCCACCGACAGAUCAGCUGGCACCCUAGUCUGGCACCUUGAAGUCUGUCAGAGCCACGGAUCCUAACCCCUUUAGUCUACUCAUAGAUCUUUCCUGAGCCCCGACUCUGUAACUCAUAGGCACCCCUGCCUGAGAAAAGAUGGCUGCCAUGGAAUGGCACCUCCCACUGUCUUCUCAUGAACUCCUGGUGUUCUCCUCACCACCCCAAGGCGCCUGAUCUGGUUGAAGGUGACAUGAAGGUGACAUGGUGACACAGAAUGUGAAUGGCUGAAGGCUAGAAAUCUGAGCUGUCUGGGAACCCCCUCACCUCUCGUGUUUCUAAAAUGACUUCGGAAUUAGGGUGCAGGCAUGCAAAGCCCAAGGGAACGCCAUCAUUUUCGAGGAGGCCAGCUGUCCCCAGAUCCAGGCCAAGAAAUCCUAGGAUCUGAUGGCCCACACUCAGCUAUGUGGCCAAACCGCUUCACGUCUGUGCUUCAGAAGUGACUGGGUAGUUCCAUUGCUGGUCUUAAAGGAAGGGCCUCUGACUUUUCCCAGAGAUGAUGGAGUUCUUGGUCCUACCUCCUUCUUGUCUGCUUAGGAAUCUUUCUCGGCUCCCUUAGGUGCCUAAACUCCAGUUCACACGAGUGGGACAUUUCUACAUAAUUUCCUUACAUACAGUUGUUUCAGGGGGUUCCCAACCCACAGAGUCUCUUUCUGUGUCUCUCUGUGUCUCUCUGUCUCUCUCUCUC
Mus musculus (house mouse) is the source of this 4275-nucleotide long non-coding RNA. RefSeq annotates it as predicted gene, 30799. NCBI's taxonomy places the organism in Eukaryota, Metazoa, Chordata, Mammalia, Rodentia, Muridae. The record is from RefSeq and is a predicted model, not a curated record. The transcript has 6 exons.